RNAcentral lists this ribosomal RNA (163 nucleotides) under Lupinus bandelierae. RNAcentral describes it as "5.8S ribosomal RNA". The stretch from base 1 to 133 matches the Rfam family "5.8S ribosomal RNA", at positions 24 to 154 of the family's 154-position model. Rfam says of the family: 5.8S ribosomal RNA (5.8S rRNA) is a component of the large subunit of the eukaryotic ribosome. RNAcentral also lists the same sequence under 4 other names. Lineage: Eukaryota; Viridiplantae; Streptophyta; Magnoliopsida; Fabales; Fabaceae. The record is from RNAcentral.
GCUCUUGCAUCGAUGAAGAACGUAGCGAAAUGCGAUACUUGGUGUGAAUUGCAGAAUCCCGUGAACCAUCGAGUCUUUGAACGCAAGUUGCGCCCGAAGCCAUUAGGCCGAGGGCACGCCUGCCUGGGUGUUGCACAUCGUUGCCCCCGUGCCUUGGCCACAU